AACGAACGCUGGCGGCAUGCCUAACACAUGCAAGUCGAACGGGACCUUCGGGUCUAGUGGUGCACGGGUGCGUAACGCGUGGGAACCUGCCCUUAGGUUCGGUAUAUCUGCCCGAAAGGGGUGCUAAUACCGGAUAAUGUCCUCGUACCAAAGAUUUAUCGCCUAUGGAUGGGCCCGCGAUGGAUUAGCUAGUUGGUAGGGUAAAAGCCUACCAAGGCGACGAUCCAUAGCUGGUCUGAGAGGAUGAGCAGCCACACUGGGACUGAGACACGGCCCAGAUUCGGACGGGAGGAAGCAGGGGGAAAGAUUGAUCAAUGGACGACAGCCGGAGCAAGCCAGGCCGCGUGAGUGAUGAAUGCCUUUGGGUAGUAAAGCUCCUUUUCCCGGGAUGGUAAUGACAGGUACGGGAGAAAAAACUCCGGCUAAACCCCUGC
This 434-nucleotide ribosomal RNA is filed under the name uncultured bacterium. RNAcentral's name for it is "partial 16S ribosomal RNA". It matches the Rfam family "Bacterial small subunit ribosomal RNA", at positions 29 to 508 of the family's 1533-position model. The record is from RNAcentral.